CAUGGCUCAGGAUGAACGCUGGCGGCGUGCCUAAUACAUGCAAGUCGAACGCGAGCACUUGUGCUCGAGUGGCGAACGGGUGAGUAAUACAUAAGUAACCUGCCCUAGACAGGGGGAUAACUAUUGGAAACGAUAGCUAAGACCGCAUAGGUACGGACACUGCAUGGUGACCGUAUUAAAAGUGCCUCAAAGCACUGGUAGAGGAUGGACUUAUGGCGCAUUAGCUGGUUGGCGGGG
RNAcentral lists this ribosomal RNA (237 nucleotides) under uncultured bacterium. RNAcentral describes it as "partial 16S ribosomal RNA". It matches the Rfam family "Bacterial small subunit ribosomal RNA", at positions 18 to 257 of the family's 1533-position model. The record is from RNAcentral.